Molecule: ribosomal RNA, 419 nt
Filed under: Hordeum intercedens
Lineage: Eukaryota; Viridiplantae; Streptophyta; Magnoliopsida; Poales; Poaceae
Source: RNAcentral
GGAUCCCAUCAGAACUCCGAAGUUAAGCGUGCUUGGGCGAGAGUAGUACUAGGAUCCCUGACCUCCUGCGAAGUCCUCGUGUUGCAACGUGCGCGGAAUAUAUUAAGCACGGUUCCUUAUUUCCGACUUCUUGUGCUGAUCAGUUUGAUAUAUUAUACGGUUUUUUCGACAUCGAUGCAAAAGUUAUAGCGUUUUACUCUUUCAUAACACUUUUUUGCAAAACAUGUCAAAAUUUAUGUUUUUGAAUUUUCCUAACUAAUAGAUGUAGUAACAUAAAUACAUCUCGAAGGAUUUUAAUUUUCGAAGUUUUUAUCAUUUUCUUUCUUUUUUUAAAAACUAAAAUGGCGAUAGGGGGGGCAGCAUAAUGGACGAAGGCGGGGGUAACAUGUCGGAUGCGAUCAUACCAGCACUAAAGCACC